UGCAAAUGGAUACAUAGAUUUGC
RNAcentral lists this non-coding RNA (23 nucleotides) under Arabidopsis thaliana (thale cress). Lineage: Eukaryota; Viridiplantae; Streptophyta; Magnoliopsida; Brassicales; Brassicaceae. The record is from RNAcentral.